This 211-nucleotide long non-coding RNA is filed under the name Vigna radiata. RNAcentral's name for it is "long non-coding RNA (VRAD_LNC006660)". Lineage: Eukaryota; Viridiplantae; Streptophyta; Magnoliopsida; Fabales; Fabaceae. The record is from RNAcentral.
UGGUGAUCUUUCUUGAACGAGAUUCAUAAAGGAGACUUUUUGCGCUUACAUUUGCUGAUCAUUAUCUGCACAAGAAAGGUGCUUCUGUGUGAUCGUGUUGAAGGCUUGGCAUCCUGUGAAGACUGCUGAAUUGUGUUGAAGGGUUGGCAUCCUGUGAAGACUGCUAAAUUGUGUUGAAGGCUUGACAUCCUAUGAAGACUGUUGAAUUGUG